CAGAAGUCACAGAGGCCAAAAGGAGGAGUGGACCCUCAAUUAACAACGAGAUAAUGUCACACAGAAAUGUCAGCAACAUAUUCUGCUGCUGCGGAACAAAGUACUGUCUCAUGACUUUGAACAAACCCACAGAGACUUCAGAGGUAACUGUUUCCUGACCUGGAUUUGUGUAUAUUUAGGGGAAGCAGCUCCAAGGAAUGAAACCUAUGAUACACAGACCUCUGGGACAAUCUGCGUACAGUCAUGCUUUUUUUCCAUCUGAAAAUAGACAAUUUGGUGACCUCCCUCUGCAGCCCCAGCAGGACCAACAGAGACAAACAGAACGGUCGAGGUAGAAAGUGCUCGUGUUGACAUUGCGUCGAGGUGUGGACUUGUCAAGGUCAGACCUGACAAAGGCGUCCAACUUCAACGGGCUAGAGUUGAGGGGAAAAAACUGCAAGUGUGAGCUCAAUAUUAUAUUUUUUUUUGUGACAAGAGCCGGGCUUUGGUGUUGUUCAGCCCAUUGAAAACAAUUUCAGAUAUGAAAGGAGACGUUUUUUUGUAUCUGAAAAUGUACAUUAAAUGGUGUCAACAACAUCCUGGAGGUCACAGUAGAGUCCCCAUGGAGACUGAAUCUGGCUGCGGCGCUCAAAGACUCGACACCCCCCCUCUCUGAGUGGCGGCUCGGUGAUGGCUCUCAGUUUCUCUCGUCAUGUCCCUGGCAGCUUUGACACAGGACUUUCUCUCUGAUUACACACGUCUCAGGGAGCAAAACAAGGACUCCGAGCUGCCACCGGGCACCGGACUCAUCCAGGGCUUUCAGCCUUCAAGAGGACAGAAGUCCGCCUUUAAGGUACAACACAACCACGUGGACUUGCAGAAGUCAAUGCCAAGGCACAGUUUGCUGACAUCACUUUGAUGGACCCUGGUUAAGGUGAACAAAGCUAGACCAAGCCACGCUGCUACUAAUUUCUUGUUACAUAACCUGAUACUUAUAAAUGAUCUUCUGACAAAUAAGGGUAAAUGCCAUCA
This is a long non-coding RNA of Notolabrus celidotus (New Zealand spotty), 1011 nucleotides long. RefSeq lists it as uncharacterized. The record is from RefSeq and is a predicted model, not a curated record. The transcript has 6 exons. NCBI's taxonomy places the organism in Eukaryota, Metazoa, Chordata, Actinopteri, Labriformes, Labridae.